RNAcentral lists this unclassified non-coding RNA (3015 nucleotides) under Hevea brasiliensis (rubber tree). The record is from RNAcentral. Lineage: Eukaryota; Viridiplantae; Streptophyta; Magnoliopsida; Malpighiales; Euphorbiaceae.
UGAUACUUUGUGCUAGAAAUACUAUUACUCAUAUUCUUAACAGAUGAAACUAUGCAUGAAAUUCAUGAUGCAUACACAAGCAUAUUUGACAUUGAUUCUUUGCAUACCAUUCCAUUUAAUUUAGGCACAAUUGAUGAGCCAUGUAACAUAUUGUUAGCAGCAGACCUAACUCUUGAUGAGAGGAAAGAUUUUGAGAGAAUUUUGAAAAAACAUGAGAAAGUAUUUGCUUGGUCUUACGACGAUAUGCCUAGGACAGGUAGGAGCAUAGUGGAGCACCGCAUUCCCAUGUACCCUGAUGCUAAGCCUGUCAAGUAGAAAUUCAUGUGCCCAAGAGCAAAGUGGGCACACAAGGUUAGAGAAUAGGUCACUAAACAGGUGAAUGGUGUACAAUUUCAGGCUGAGACUAGAGAGCUUUUACAAAAAUAUGGAGUGGAGCAUCAUAAGUCCUCACCAUAUGGGCCACAAGCUAAUGGUGCAGUAGAGGGAGCUAAUAAGAAUUUGAAAAGGAUCCUGAGCAAAAUGACACAAACCUACAGGGAUUGGGCAGACAAACUACCCUUGGCAUUGUGGGGGCACAGGACGACUGAGUGAUACUCAACAGGGGCUACUCCUUAUUAUGAAUGAAAGAGGCUGUGUUGCCGAUAGAGAUGGAAGUCAAAUCUCUAGGGGUGACGCUUAAAGUCAAAAUUCUUGAUUAUGCAUGAAAGAGGGAUAGGUAAGAAUAGCUAGCAUUAUUAGAUGAAGCUAGACUUAAGUUUAUGUUUAAUACUCAGCUUUAUUAGAGAAGGAUAGCUCAUGCCUAUAAUAAAUGAGUAAAGCCUUUAAAGAUUUGAGUGGGAGAUUUGGCGCUGAAAUAGUCUAAAGUUGUUCUACCUGAUCCUAGGGGAAAGUUCAGACCAAACUAGGAAGGAUCGUAUCUUGUCAAGAAACUGUUACCUAAGGGUGUUGUGAAGCUAUCUGAUAUGGAAGGCAAUGAGUUUAUGGAGCCAAUCAGUAGGGACAGGCUUAGGAAAUGCUUUCUCUAAAGAAAAAUAAAAGAAAAAUAGAACCAUAAAAAAAACCUAUUACGUGAAAAACCCGAAAGGGCUGCUCAGACAAAAAUUAGGAAUAAUGAAAAAUGACCCUCGCUAAGUAGAAAACUCAAAAGGGCCGCUUAAGAAAAAAUUAUAGGUAAUAAAGCCUGCCAAGUUGAAAACUCGAAAAGGCAGCUUAGGCAACAAUAAAGGCAUGUGAGAAUAAAAUAUUUAGUUGGAAAACUUGCAAAGGCUAGCUAAUAACAAAAGUACGGUAUGCUGCUACUAAUAUGAUACCAAUCUUGCUUAAGUCUGAAUGUAGUGGCAUGAUAUAGAAUUACACGAAUGACAUAAACAGUUCUAAAAAUAGAUUCAUAACAUAGAUAAGUCUUAAUAAAAAAAAACAUUCAUUCAUGUUUUAGUUUCAUUCAUUAUUGUUUUAGUGAUAGAAUUGUUUCUUUUUUAUAUUGUGCUAUCUACUGUUUUUUGUGCUUCUUAGAUGCAUAUGAUGAAGAUUCUUCCCUAGAUCGCCUCAAAAAGUAAGCAUCCUGAUCAAUGAGGGAGGCCCAUCUCUUAUACUCAUCACUGGUGCUCUGAUUAGCUGAAGACUCGAUCUGGUACUCAAUGGUACGGCAAGGCCAAAUGUUCUCCCAAUGCUCAAGGAACUGUCUGGACAAUGGACCUCCCUGGAACUCAGGAAUCAGCAAUAAGAUGUCCUGUCGGCAUCCAAACUACUUACAGAGAUGGUGAGGAGUAUCGAAAGUAGAGAAAUGCAAACUUGCAAGUGGUAGGUAUGGGACAUAUGUACGGGUAGUGACAUGAAUAAUAUGGCACCAAGGGCACAUCUACUAGAUGGUUGCAUUGCAUUAGGGAGGGUCCCAAUCCAUUAAACCCAUCUAUCAUAAGUAGGGGUGUGCAAACGAUCAGUUUGGUUCCAAACAGAAUCGAACCGAAUAAAUUGAAAACCAAAGCUAAGGAUUUUUAAAGACGAAAUCGAAUCGAACAUUAAGACGGAACUAAACCAAAAUAACUGACUUAAUUCGAUUCAGUUUGAUUCGGAAUCGAUUAAAUUGAACUUUCUAAAAAUUCAACUUCACACACACUUUACACACAUAAAUCCCAUCCCAGCAACUAAAAAAUCUCAAACAAUUUAAACAGGAAUAAGAACAAACCUCAAAUCCAACACUACAACAGCAAAUUAAAGACUUUCAAAUCAAGUUCCUAAAUCCUAAAUACUCAAAGUCUCAAACAAUCUCAUGAACAAAAACACAAUAAUCAAUUUCAAUCUUCCAGAUGCAAGAAUAUAAUUCCAGAUGUAGUACCCAUUAAUCAAUUUAUUGAAAAAAAAAACUAAAAAUUACACAAAAUUUCAACAGCAAAUUUUGCAAUACCCUUUACAAUCUGCCUACAUUUUGCAAGAAAUUACAAAUUCCCACAAUAUGCCUAUAUUUGGCAAUACCCAUUACAAAAACAAUACCCAGCAAAAUACAUCAAACUUCUAUUAAAAAAAAAAUUACAUCAAACCGACGUGAGAAACCGAAGAAACUUGAGCAAAAGCGGAUUUUCUUCUUCGCUUCAAUCAUCUCCCAUCUGCUCUAGCGCAAAAGAUGAAGAAGAAGAAGUCUAUGAACAAUAGCAGUAGCGAAAUGUGAGUUGGUGAGCGGUGACCGACUGAAUCUCAUGCUACAAAGCCACAUGCAAGGCAAAAGGAUGACUCCAUUGACAAGCUCUAUUAGAAUAUUCUCUAACUCCCUUAGCUUUCUGUCGGUUCUUCCAUGAUUAAAUUCAAUUGAUUCCUUCAAAUCAUCAAAGGUAUUUUCUACUUGCCGUGUUCUACUUUCCAUCUGAGAUAGUCGUGCACUGAGACACUCCACUAAGUGUAGCAAAACAUCAGCAUGUUCCUUCAACUUUUGAUCAAUCCUGGAAAUCAAUUCUACAUCGCCGAAAAUCCCAACUUUCUCACCAGAGAAUUUUGUAGAAUGUUGGCCCAUCGAAUUCCAAC